CUGGCCGGGCCAAGGGCUGCAACACAGGACAUGGGUCCUGCUCUCCUCCCCGCUCGUGUCUUGUGUUGCAGCCAGUGGAGCUGC
This 84-nucleotide microRNA precursor is filed under the name Hippoglossus hippoglossus (Atlantic halibut). RNAcentral's name for it is "mir-187 microRNA precursor family". It matches the Rfam family "mir-187 microRNA precursor family". Lineage: Eukaryota; Metazoa; Chordata; Actinopteri; Pleuronectiformes; Pleuronectidae. The record is from Rfam by way of RNAcentral.